This 781-nucleotide long non-coding RNA is filed under the name Vigna radiata. RNAcentral describes it as "long non-coding RNA (VRAD_LNC006572)". Lineage: Eukaryota; Viridiplantae; Streptophyta; Magnoliopsida; Fabales; Fabaceae. The record is from RNAcentral.
CAUCAAGCUCGGAUAACUAUGAAAUUUUGCCUAGUAAUAAGCUUAGAGUGGAAGAGUCGGUGAGGAGGAGGGCAUCUGCUCUUAGAUGAGCUAAGAUUUAUACCCUUCCAUUGGGAGUUCUUCCUUUGAUUCUUCGUAUGUUUUCUCCCUAGCCCUAGCAGCCUUUACAGGGUGCUCGAACUUCGUGAAGAACUCCAUUCUAUCUCUCCCUCGUUACGAACAAAAAAGUGGGGUUGCGCCCCAAUUGUACACUCCUUUCGUUCUACGAACCCUUGUUGAUUCUGAACUUCAUUCGCGAAGGAACCGGACGCUAAAGAAAUGAAAAGGCACAUUGCGUCUUGGAACACCGUACUACAUAAAUGAAAGAAACGCCAAAGUAAACUAAUCAAUUGGAAGGCAACGAAUAAAACAUAGAACACGAUUAACACUAAAUGGAAACCCAAUGCAGCAAAGAAAUCAAUUGUAAUUAAUGCUAUUAAAAUACUAUUAAGCUAAAAAGUAAACACUGAUUUUAAUAGCUAGCAAUGCCAUUCAUCAUUGAGAAACAAUGCAAGGAAAAGUGCAAGGAAAAUAUGCGUGAACAUAUAAAGAGGCAAAAGAUGUGGAUGUUACAUUGCUGGAAUAAAAACAAUCAAUGCAAGAGUGUUGUGUGCUUCUAAAUCAACUACUUUUUUUCUAAAAGCCAAAAGAAAAUAAAUGUGAUAAAAGGGUUUCACCCAGGCCGUACUCAUCUCUUAAACCGUGACACCACCUACUUUCUCCAAUUUCCAAUCAAUAAUAA